AUACGGAAGGUCCGGGCGUUAUCCGGAUUUAUUGGGUUUAAAGGGAGCGCAGGCGGAGAUGCAAGCGUGACGUCAAAUUUCGGGGCUCAACCCCGUCUCGCGUCGCGAACUGCGUCCCUUGGUUGCGGGAAGGGGAGGCGGAACUCGUGGUGUAGUGGUGAAAUGCAUAGAUAUCACGAAGAACUCCGAUCGCGAAGGCAGCCUUCCGGCCCGUCAACGACGCUCAUGCUCGAAGGUGCGGGUAUCAAACAGGAUUAGAUACCCUGGUAGUCCGUACAGUAAACGAUGGACACCCGCGGUUUGGCCUAUAUGGCUGAGCCGCCAAGCGAAAGCGUUAAGUGUCCCACCUGGGGAGUACGCCGGCAACGGUGAAACUCAAAUGAAUUGACGGGG
This 393-nucleotide ribosomal RNA is filed under the name uncultured bacterium. RNAcentral describes it as "partial 16S ribosomal RNA". It matches the Rfam family "Bacterial small subunit ribosomal RNA", at positions 523 to 918 of the family's 1533-position model. The record is from RNAcentral.